GUGAUUUGUCUGGUUAAUUCCGUUAACGAACGAGAUCCUAUUCUGCUAACUGUUGCAACAGUCUUUGGAAUGUUGGUACACUUAGAGGGACAUUGCGUGAGUAAUGCACGGAAGAGUCGGGCAAUAACAGGUCUGUGAUGCCCUUAGAUGUCCUGGGCUGCACGCGCGCUACAAUGGCACAUGCCCCAAUGUACCUAUGUCUGACAAGAACAUAGGAUCAAGCAACGAUGCCGUGCCGGGAAUAGAUGAUUGUAAUUUUUUAUCUUGAACGAGGAAUUCCUAGUAAGAACAGAUCAACAAUCUGUGCUGAUUACGUCCCUGCCCUUUGUACCCACCACCC
Molecule: ribosomal RNA, 340 nt
Filed under: Perkinsus marinus
Lineage: Eukaryota; Perkinsozoa; Perkinsida; Perkinsidae
Description: partial Eukaryotic small subunit ribosomal RNA
Rfam family: Eukaryotic small subunit ribosomal RNA
Source: RNAcentral